RNAcentral lists this ribosomal RNA (567 nucleotides) under Echinobothrium sp. 1046.C.6K.v7. Its description in RNAcentral is "bacterial SSU rRNA". It matches the Rfam family "Eukaryotic small subunit ribosomal RNA", at positions 433 to 860 of the family's 1831-position model. Lineage: Eukaryota; Metazoa; Platyhelminthes; Cestoda; Diphyllidea; Echinobothriidae. The record is from RNAcentral.
CGCGCAAAUUACCCACUCCCGGCACGGGGAGGUGGUGACGAAAAAUACCGAUGCGGGACUCCUUUACGAGGCUCCGUAAUCGGAAUGAGUGAACUAUAAAUCCUUUGACGAGGAUCAAUUGGAGGGCAAGUCUGGUGCCAGCAGCCGCGGUAACUCCAGCUCCAAUAGCGUAUAUUAAAGUUGCUGCAGUUAAAAAGCUCGUAGUUGGAUCUCGGUAUUACUGUUGCCUGUCAGUCUUGCGUGGCUGGAUUAGUGAUGCAUGGGCGCUGCUCGUGUUGUCCUGGUCUGCUGUUGCGAGCUGAUGAGGUGUCGGUGUUACCUUUUAGCCAUGUCUGUGGUGCAAUACCCGCACGUGUAGGCGAGUGUCACGCGGUGCUUUGCAACAGUAAGGUCCGUCGGCUCGUUUGCAUGCCUUUGGAUGCCCUUUAAAAGGUGUCUGUGGGCGGAUGGCACGUUUACGUUGAACAAAUUUGAGUGCUCAAACCAGCCCGAUGUUGCCUGAAAAGUUUUGCAUGGGAAUAAUGGAAAUAGGACUUUCGGUUCUAUUUCGUUGGGUUUUUCGGAUUC